Molecule: ribosomal RNA, 489 nt
Filed under: uncultured bacterium
Lineage: Bacteria
Description: partial 16S ribosomal RNA
Rfam family: Bacterial small subunit ribosomal RNA
Source: RNAcentral
UUGAACGCUGGCGGCAGGCCUAACACCUGCCAGUCGAACGGUAACAGGAAGCAGCUUGCUGCUUCGCUGACGAGUGGCGGACGGGUGAGUAAUGUCUGGGAAACUGCCUGAUGGAGGGGGAUAACUACUGGAAACGGUAGCUAAUACCGCAUAACGUCGCAAGACCAAAGAGGGGGACCUUCGGGCCUCUUGCCAUCGGAUGUGCCCAGAUGGGAUUAGCUAGUAGGUGGGGUAACGGCUCACCUAGGCGACGAUCCCUAGCUGGUCUGAGAGGAUGACCAGCCACACUGGAACUGAGACACGGUCCAGACUCCUACGGGAGGCAGCAGUGGGGAAUAUUGCACAAUGGGCGCAAGCCUGAUGCAGCCAUGCCGCGUGUAUGAAGAAGGCCUUCGGGUUGUAAAGUACUUUCAGCGGGGAGGAAGGCGAUAAGGUUAAUAACCUUGUCGAUUGACGUUACCCGCAGAAGAAGCACCGGCUAACUCCGUG